RNAcentral lists this ribosomal RNA (544 nucleotides) under Ophioparma ventosa. RNAcentral describes it as "eukaryotic LSU rRNA". It matches the Rfam family "Eukaryotic large subunit ribosomal RNA", at positions 81 to 640 of the family's 3401-position model. Lineage: Eukaryota; Fungi; Ascomycota; Lecanoromycetes; Umbilicariales; Ophioparmaceae. The record is from RNAcentral.
CAGUAACGGCGAGUGAAGCGGCAGCAGCUCAAAUUUGAAAUCUGGUCCCUCCGGGGCCCGAGUUGUAGUUUGUAGAGGAUGCUUCGGGUGCGGUGCCGGUCUAAGUUCCUUGGAACAGGACGUCAUAGAGGGUGAGAAUCCCGUAUGUGACUGGCGACCAAGCCUAUGUGAAGCUCCUUCGACGAGUCGAGUUGUUUGGGAAUGCAGCUCUAAAUGGGUGGUAAAUUUCAUCUAAAGCUAAAUACCGGCCAGAGACCGAUAGCGCACAAGUAGAGUGAUCGAAAGAUGAAAAGCACUUUGGAAAGAGAGUUAAAAAGUACGUGAAAUUGUUGAAAGGGAAGCGCUUGCGACCAGACUUGCCCGCGGGUGAUCAGCCGUUAUUUUUACCGGUGCACUCGCCCGUGGCCAGGCCAGCAUCGGUUCGGGCGGUUGGAUAAAGGCCCGGGGAAUGUAGCUCCCUCCGGGGAGUGUUAUAGCCCGGGGUGCAAUGCGGCCAGCCUGGACCGAGGACCGCGCUCCGGCUAGGAUGCUGGCGUAAUGGUUG